AUGGAAGGCAGCAGUGAGGAAUAUUGGUCAAUGGAGGCAACUCUGAACCAGCCAUCUCGCGUGAAGGAAUACGGCCCUACGGGUCUUAAACUUCUUUUAUAGGGGGAUAAAGUGAGAUAUGUAUAUCUUUUUGUAGGUACCCUAUGAAUAAGGACCGGCUAAUUCCGUGCCAGCAGCCGCGGUAAUACGGAAGGUCCGGGCGUUAUCCGGAUUUAUUGGGUUUAAAGGGAGCGUAGGCCGUGCUUUAAGCGUGUUGUGAAAUGUAGGCGCCCAACGUCUGCACUGCAGCGCGAACUGGAGCACUUGAGUACGCAGGAAGUAGGCGGAAUUCGUCGUGUAGCGGUGAAAUGCUUAGAUAUGACGAAGAACUCCGAUUGGGAAGCCAGCUUACUGUAGCGCCACUGACGCUGAUGCUCGAAAGCGUGGGUAUCGAACAGGAUUAGAUACCCUGGUA
This 454-nucleotide ribosomal RNA is filed under the name uncultured Prevotella sp. RNAcentral describes it as "partial 16S ribosomal RNA". It matches the Rfam family "Bacterial small subunit ribosomal RNA", at positions 341 to 792 of the family's 1533-position model. Lineage: Bacteria; Pseudomonadati; Bacteroidota; Bacteroidia; Bacteroidales; Prevotellaceae. The record is from RNAcentral.